This 492-nucleotide ribosomal RNA is filed under the name Cardinium endosymbiont of Pratylenchus penetrans. RNAcentral describes it as "bacterial SSU rRNA". It matches the Rfam family "Bacterial small subunit ribosomal RNA", at positions 282 to 771 of the family's 1533-position model. The record is from RNAcentral. Lineage: Bacteria; Pseudomonadati; Bacteroidota; Cytophagia; Cytophagales; Amoebophilaceae.
GGUAGGGGUUCUUAGUGGAAGGUCCCCCACACUGGCACUGAGAUACGGGCCAGACUCCUACAGGAGGCAACAAUGAGGAAUAUUGGACAAUGGGUGCAACCCUGAACCAUCCAUGCCGCGUGAAAGAUUAAGGCCCUCUGAUUUGUAAACUGCUUUUGUAUAGAAACAAAAAACCUUCUGCGGAGGUUCUUGAGGGUACUAUAAGAAUAAGCACCGGCUAAUUCCAUGCCAGCAGCCGCGGUAAUACGGAAGGUGCAAGCGUUAUCCGGUUUUAUUGGGUUUAAAGGGUGCGUANGCGGUUUAUUAAGUCAGUUGUGAAAUCCUAGUGCUUAACGCUAGAACUGCAAUUGAUACUGGUAGACUUGAAUUAAGAAGAGGUAAGUAAAAUUUAUGGUGUAUUAGUGAAAUGCUUAAAUAUCAUAAGGAAUACCAAUAGCGUACGCACCUUACUGGUCUUUAACUGACGCUGAAACACGAAAGCGUGGGGAGCAA